Long non-coding RNA from Gossypium arboreum, 545 nucleotides. RefSeq lists it as uncharacterized. The record is from RefSeq and is a predicted model, not a curated record. NCBI's taxonomy places the organism in Eukaryota, Viridiplantae, Streptophyta, Magnoliopsida, Malvales, Malvaceae. The transcript has 2 exons.
GUAAAUGUUUCAUGAUAAUAGGUUAGGUAAAUGUUCCAUGAUAAUAGGUUAGGUAAAUGUUCCAUGAUAAUGGGUUAGGUAAAUGUUUCAUGAUAAUGGGUUAGGUAAAUGUUUCAUGAUAAGAAUAUCAUGUCUUUUGUAUUAAAGAAUUAAAUGGAUGAAAUAUGAAGUUUUAUUAAAAGAAAAAGGGGUGAAAAGAACAAAGUUUUGUCCAUCUUUGUUCAUCAUAGCUGAAAGUUAGAGAAGAGAAAGGAGAGGAGAAAGCUCUUGAGUAUUCGGUCAUUAGGAGGAGGAAAAUUGAAGGAAAUCCCCAACCAUAGUGGGCUUGGAGCUGUGAGGGAAUUCGGAGUGGCCACCCAUUCUGAAAGUUUGAUUUUCUUCUGGUGAACUGGACAUCCUUUUAAUUACGUUUGAGGUUUUAGGCUUUUAAAUGUAAUAAGGCCGCUUAUUUAUUUUUGAUGGUUUUUAAUAUGUAUUACUAAGAUAGGUAAUACUUAUUUUAACUGUUGAAAUUGGAUAGCUUUAGGGCGCGUUUUCAAAAACAA